UACGUAGGGUGCGAGCGUUAAUCGGAAUUACUGGGCGUAAAGUGUGCGCAGGCGGCCGCGCAAGUCGUGUGUGAAAGCCCCGGGCUUAACUUGGGAAUUGCGCUCGAAACUACGUGGCUAGAGUGUGGCAGAGGGAGGUGGAAUUCCACGUGUAGCGGUGAAAUGCGUAGAGAUGUGGAGGAACACCGAUGGCGAAGGCAGCCUCCUGGGCCAACACUGACGCUCAUGCACGAAAGCGUGGGGAGCAAACAGG
RNAcentral lists this ribosomal RNA (253 nucleotides) under uncultured bacterium. RNAcentral describes it as "partial 16S ribosomal RNA". It matches the Rfam family "Bacterial small subunit ribosomal RNA", at positions 524 to 776 of the family's 1533-position model. The record is from RNAcentral.